RNAcentral lists this long non-coding RNA (2056 nucleotides) under Cricetulus griseus (Chinese hamster). Its description in RNAcentral is "lncRNA (ENSCGRG00000026232.1)". Lineage: Eukaryota; Metazoa; Chordata; Mammalia; Rodentia; Cricetidae. The record is from RNAcentral.
GGAAGAGCGACUGUGUUUGGUACUCAGGGGAAAUCGCAACUAAAGAGAGAUCAUUUAAAAAAUGAGAUUCCGUGCUCAAAGCUACUCUCUCCCAAAGUGGAAGCGACUGUGUUUGCUGAUUGGGUAAAAUCGCAAAUACAGAGAAGCUUUCAUUUAAACAAUUAAACCAAUGCUCAAAGCUAUUCUGCUGCAGCCUUCAAGUGCGGAUGUGUUUGCUGCUCUGAAGGAAAUCGCCAACAAAGAGAACCUUUGGUUCCUUUGGUUUCCUAGGCAGCCUGGUCCGUCCACAGACAGGGAUUGUGACGCACUUCCUGUAGCGGAUCCUUCCCAGGGGUCGGCUGACUGCGUGUCCAUAGACACUACUUAAAGAAGUUCCUAGAGGCACCUUCCCCAUGGUGACUAGAUAUAAGACAAGAGCUGGCUUGAGCUUUGGAUCCUCUGCAAUUGAAGUUGCCCUGUGGAUCACUUUCAUCUCCCUCAUCACACUGCACUGGUUGGCCUUGCAGCAGGUCCUGCUCAGAGGAGAGGGAGCCAAAGAUGCCUGUCGCAUCCACCUGAGGAACGGUCAGCAAGACAACGCAGCAACGCAGGUCAGUUCCAUCUGGGCCCUGUUGUGUCUUUCAUAGGUAGACUUAAUUUUUUUUCAUGUUAAGCGUUGCAAAUCUGAAUGGAUUAGGACAUUAUUGUAUAGAUCUAAAACCGUUGGCUCUGAAGAACCAGAUGAGAAAUCUAUUCAAUUAGGCCCUGGCUUCCUUUGUCCUGGCUUCCUCUGUUCUAUUGCUGAAAAGUGCUCCUCCUGCUGAUCCCUCAGUAUGUUCUGUCACUUCAGUUCAUUUCUCUUCGUGGGUGAGCAUUUACAUUUCAAAGCUUAGGCAGUAUUGUGGAUUAUUGGUGUGUGACAAUAAGGGCGGUAAACAAAGCAAAAGGAACAAUUGUGGUAUAGGUCUGACCUAUUAAAUUGGGACAUUAAAUUGGGUGUCUUCCUUUCACUGGAGAGAGUAAAAGGAUGAAAUACAGAGAAUUAACAGUGCAGUGGGGGCGUGGGGGGGUCCGCUAGACCACAAUCAUUUAGACCUACCAGUUUCUGAAGGGAAGAAUUAGGUACUAUGAUUUCUGACACUAUGACAAUUACAAUAAAGGAAAGGGGUUUCCAAAGUGGCUGUAAGAAAGGACAGAGCAAACUGGAGAGAUAGAGACACAGAGAAUGAGAGAGAAACAAAGUGAAUGUGUCUCAGUUAGGAUCAGAAGUGAGUGGGUGUGUCAGCAAAAUGGCUAAUGUGUGGAGAGGUAGAAUGUCUGCUACAUACAGAGGUGCAGUCUACAUAUUCGUACUGAAUAAUAAACGUUUUUCUAUGGUCUUGUAAGGUAAUUUAGUUUGAACAUUGUGGAGAUGCUUCAGUGUCUUUUUUCUCAAUUUUUGUAAAGCUGUCUGUAUCCGACAAUAAUUGUUGGCUUGGGAAAUAAUCAAUUUGGACACGUCAUCUGUUUUAUCUUUUCUGAUCCUCUAACUCAAACGCAGUUUAUAAGAUAUGCAAAUGACACAUAAAACAGAUAAUAAUAUAGAAACGUGUCUUUUCAAUUUUGGAAUUGUAUUUUGUUCUUCAUUUCAAAAUGGUGUGUAGAUUUAAGAUUUAAAGAUAUUUCCAAAAUGCACUGGAGUAGUGACGCAUGCAAGCACUGAUCUGAUAUUUUCCAAGCAUUGUUACUUCCCCAGAAGUGCAAAUUAACAGAGAUACAGCACAGUAGUAAUGUACCAUACUAUUUUUGUGUAGCUUAAUUUGAAAUCUAGGUUGUUGAUACUUCUUGUUAUUUUUUAUUAUUAUUCUUUUUUGUUGCAGUGAGGUUUGUGUGUGCGUGUUUGUAUUUCCAUAUAAGAUUACAGUUAUAUUUUUAAAUAUAUGUGAAAGAUUUUGUUGGAGAUCACAUUGAACAUAUGCUUUGUUUUGUGACAAAAUGGCCACUUUCAUAAUAAUAGCACUAGCAAUUCAUGACCUUGCCAGACAUUUCAGACUCUGGUUUCUUCUUACCUUUAGUUAUCCAGUUUCUUCAAAUUUCC